GUUUUUACGUCCAAGGUGCAUUAUCUUGUACUUAUCCACAUUAAAUGUCAGUUGCCACAUCUCUGACCAUUUUUCCUAAAUCAUUUGCCAUUUGGCUUAUCCCUCCUGGAACAUCAACCCUGUUACAUAUCUUAGUAUCAUCAGCAAAAAGACAUACCUUACCAUCAAGACCUUCUUCAAUAUCGCUAAUAAUAAUAUUAAAGAGAAUGGGUCCAAGUAGAGAUCCCUGAGGUACCCCACUGGUAACUAGACCUUGCUUUGAAUAUACUCUGUUGAGAACAACCCUCUGUUGGCUGUCAUUUAGCCACUGCCUAACCCAUUCAACAAUACUGGAAUCCAAACUUAAAGAUUGCAGUUUAUUGAUGAGCCUUCUAUGUGCAACAGUGUCAAAAAAUGAGCAGUAGUGUACAUACAGUCAUGUGGAAAAAAAAAAAGAAGUACACCCUCUUUGAAUUCUAUGGUUUAACAUUUCAGGACAAACCUUUACGGUGCGUUUGGUCUUAAAAUUAAGUGUAAAUACAACUGUGUCAAUAUUCAACAAAAAUAAAGCCACAUGGAGAAGCCAAGUGUGAGAACCUAAAUGCACCCAUAUGCAUUAAGAGGCUAGGUAGCAGACCGGUGCUGCUAAUCACAUGCACUUGAUUAAUUGAUCAUCAGCAAUUGUGACCACCUCUAUAAGAAUUUGCUGAUUUGGAGCAUACGUGUGUGUUAAAAUGAUGCCAAGGACGAAAGACAUCAGCAAUGAUCAUAGAGAAGCAAUUCUUGCUGCUUAUCAAACUUGGAAGGGUUAUAAGGUAAUUUCCAAACAAUUCCAUAAUUCUACUGCAAGAAAGAUUUAAAAGUGGAAAACAUUUUGGAAGUCAGUUGCCAAUCAACCCAGGAGUAGAGUAGUUAAAAAAAAAAAAAAAAAAGUUACAUUUCAGACUCUACAGGCCUCCAUUAGCAUGUUAAAGUUCAUGACUAUACGGUUGGAAAAAGACUUAACAAGUAUGGUUUGUUUGGAAGAGUAUCCAGGAGAAAGCUUCUUCUCUUUGAAAAGAGCAUGGCAGCACGGCUUAGGUUUGCAAACUUGUAUCUGAACAAACCACAAGACUUCUGGAACAAUGUCCUUUGGACCAAACACAGCAUAUCAGCAGAAACACCUCAUACCAACUGUCAAGUACAAUGGUGUAGAGGUGACGCUUUGGCCCUUUUUUGCAGCCACAGGACCAGGGAACUUUGCAAUCAUUGAGUCAACCAUGAACUCCUCUGUAUUCCAAAGUAUUUUAGAAUCCAUCUGAGGCCAUCCAUCUGACCGCUAAAGCUUAGCUGAAAUUUGGUCAUGCAAUUGGACAACGGUUGCAAGCACAACAGCAAAUCUACAACAGAAUGGCUGAAAAAGGAAAUAAUCAAGGUAUUGCAAUUGCCUGGUCAAAGUCGAGACCUCAACCUGACUGAAAUGUUGUGGGAGGACCUUAAGAGAGCUGUGCAUAAACAAAUACCAGAAAACUUCAAUGAAAUGAAAAAUAGUUGUAAAGAGUGCGCUAAAAAUCCUCCACAACAAUUUGAGAUUGAUAGUCAUACAUGAAACGAUUACUUCAAGUUAUUGCUGCUAAAUGUGGUUCUAUGAGCGAUUGAAUCAUAAGAUGUACUUAGUUUUUCCACACAUGGAUUCUUUAAAUUAUGACACUGUGUAAUAUGCCAUUUGUAGUUGUUUAUCUGAUGUUGUAUUUACCUAAUUUUACGACCUGCUAAGGAACCGAUGAUUGUUAGUGUGUUCGGAUAUGUAAAAAUUCAAAGAGUGAUACUUUCUUUUUCUCUUGAUGGUGAACUUGAAAAAGGAAACAUCUCCCCUCCCCUGAUAUAUUUCCAUAAAUUAUUUUUUGGGAGGGGUGAACUAUUCCACUUUUAGAACUUUGCCCCAAUAUAUCCCAUAGUAAAUACACAUGGGGUUUUGGCCAAAUAAAAUGUAUGGCAAUUUUUGGAAUAUGUGGCUUUUCAGCACUAUAACACACAAGUCCAACUCAAAGACAGAUGAUUUAGCAACUCUGUGCAAGAGGUUUGGUACCACACUCAGCAUUACUGUUACCAAGUUCUUCCUUUGUACUGGCAGCGACCCUGAAUCUGUUAGUCAGCUGUGGACCACAAUGACUUCAUGGUUAGUGGUAUGCAGCCCAUUCAGAAACAAUUCCUUGCAUCUCCAUCUUAAGAUAAAAGCAUUAAAGCGGUAACAUAAAAAGAAGAUGGGCAAUAGCUUAUGUUGAUUUAAUAUAUAUAUAUAUUUUUUUUAGUCUGUUCAUAAGAUUAUACACAAAUAUUUCUGCCUAUCCUAGCCUUCCUGGGCACAGUGAAAUUAUGGCACCAUGAGGCAUUUAAAUACAGCAUUUUCUCUUUCCGGCACAAAGGAAUGCUGAUUGGGAACUAAUAAACUCAACUGAGAAGACCUUAAUUUCUAGCAGCACAUACAUCAGAAGAUAUAUAGAGAGAAACUA
Molecule: non-coding RNA, 2471 nt
Organism: Pelobates cultripes (western spadefoot toad)
Lineage: Eukaryota; Metazoa; Chordata; Amphibia; Anura; Pelobatidae
Source: the annotation of a GenBank genome assembly